Molecule: long non-coding RNA, 619 nt
Organism: Cyprinodon tularosa
Lineage: Eukaryota; Metazoa; Chordata; Actinopteri; Cyprinodontiformes; Cyprinodontidae
Exons: 3
Source: RefSeq, a predicted model, not a curated record
CCCCCCCAAUACUGAUAUUUUUUCUCUCUCUAUGUUGAAACAUUGAGCAGGAGAUGAGUGAAAUCUUGCCUGCUCUGAUAAAAAGAGCUUGUCAGGAGAACAGAGGGCAGGCCGAGGAAAGCAGAAGCAGGACUCUGGAGAACUCGACUGCAUCUGAGGAGGAAGUUAUCCUAAAAACUGGACCUUUCGGACCUUCACUCCCUGGAGGGAUCAACUGGGCCUCAAACUGAGCUGGGAAUUCAAACUGGAGGUUUGGAUCCAGUUUCCCAGAGAGGACGUUGAGUUUACACACUGAGCAAGGGAAUCAUCUCCACAACGACCCGUUCAAGUACCGCAGGAAAUCUGAGUGGCAGUCAGUUUCACCUACAACCGACCGUGUUUUGGGUAAACCCUGUUCCGCCCUCCACCGAAUCAGACUAACACUGGAAUACAGCACACAGAUUGGAGUCAAAGAUUCUACAACUUCUCUGGAAACGUGAGUCAACAACCGGAUCUUCUCCAAAUCCACGAAUGAAAUUUCCCACUGAGCCUGAACUAUUGCUGUGUCUUCUCCUCACCUUCCAGUUCCGGCUGAGCAGCGUUCAGAGCAACACUGCACCGUGCUUUAUCUCUUCAAUAA